AAGUCGUAACAAGGUUUCCGUAGGUGAACCUGCGGAAGGAUCAGUAGAGAUUGCCGGCGCAAGCCGGUCCUACACCACACACACCCGUGAACCGUUGGGGACAGCGAAUUGGCUUCACGCCUUAAUAGCGCCCGUUUACAAACUCUUAGAAACGUAACGAACGUAGUCUUAUUUUAACAAAUAAAACUUUCAACAACGGAUCUCUUGGCUCCCA
RNAcentral lists this unclassified non-coding RNA (214 nucleotides) under fungal sp. Its description in RNAcentral is "partial internal transcribed spacer region". The stretch from base 1 to 46 matches the Rfam family "Eukaryotic small subunit ribosomal RNA", at positions 1786 to 1831 of the family's 1831-position model. Lineage: Eukaryota; Fungi. The record is from RNAcentral.